CCUACGGGUGGCAGCAGUGAGGAAUAUUGGUCAAUGGACGAGAGCCUGAACCAGCCAAGUCGCGUGAAGGAUGACUGCCCUACGGGUUGUAAACUUCUUUUAUAAAGGAAUAAAGUGAGGCACGUGUGCCUUUUUGUAUGUACUUUAUGAAUAAGGAUCGGCUAACUCCGUGCCAGCAGCCGCGGUAAUACGGAGGAUCCGAGCGUUAUCCGGAUUUAUUGGGUUUAAAGGGAGCGUAGGUGGGUUGUUAAGUUAGUUGUGAAAGUUUGUGGCUCAACCGUAAAAUUGCAGUUGAUACUGGCAGUCUUGAGUACAGUAGAGGUGGGCGGAAUUCGGGGUGUAGCGGUGAAAUGCUUAGAUAUCACGAAGAACCCCGAUUGCGAAGGCAGCUCACUGGACUGAGACUGACACUGAGGCUCGAAAGUGUGGGUAUCAAACAGGAUUAGAUACCCGAGUAGUC
Molecule: ribosomal RNA, 460 nt
Filed under: uncultured bacterium
Lineage: Bacteria
Description: partial 16S ribosomal RNA
Rfam family: Bacterial small subunit ribosomal RNA
Source: RNAcentral